This 107-nucleotide small nuclear RNA is filed under the name Peromyscus maniculatus bairdii (prairie deer mouse). RNAcentral also lists the same sequence under 1 other name. Lineage: Eukaryota; Metazoa; Chordata; Mammalia; Rodentia; Cricetidae. The record is from RNAcentral.
GUGUUUGCUUUGGUAGCACAUAUACUAAAGUUGUAAUGUUACAGAGAAGAUUAGCAUGGCCCCUGCACAAGGAUAACACACAAAUUCAUGAAGCGUUCCAUAUUUUU